GCAAACUUGGUCAUUUAGAGGAAGUAAAAGUCGUAACAAGGUUUCCGUAGGUGAACCUGCGGAAGGAUCAUCACAGUGAUCUGUGUGGAGGGAGAGUGUCUCCACACCAAUCUUGUGUGAACUGUUCUGUAGUAUGUGUGUUGGUGUGUGAUGUGUUAUGGCACUCCCACCAACAAUCAAUCUCUCUCUUUCAACCUUUGUCUAACAUGUACACACACAAUCUAAAACAACUUUUAACAAUGGAUCUCUUGGCUCUCGCAUCGAUGAAGAACGCAGC
RNAcentral lists this unclassified non-coding RNA (277 nucleotides) under uncultured fungus. Its description in RNAcentral is "partial contains small subunit ribosomal RNA, internal transcribed spacer 1, and 5.8S ribosomal RNA". The stretch from base 1 to 73 matches the Rfam family "Eukaryotic small subunit ribosomal RNA", at positions 1759 to 1831 of the family's 1831-position model. Lineage: Eukaryota; Fungi. The record is from RNAcentral.